RNAcentral lists this ribosomal RNA (2580 nucleotides) under Escherichia coli. RNAcentral describes it as "partial 23S ribosomal RNA". It matches the Rfam family "Bacterial large subunit ribosomal RNA", at positions 375 to 2925 of the family's 2925-position model. The record is from RNAcentral. Lineage: Bacteria; Pseudomonadati; Pseudomonadota; Gammaproteobacteria; Enterobacterales; Enterobacteriaceae.
GUACACAAAAAUGCACAUACUGUGAGCUCGAUGAGUAGGGCGGGACACGUGGUAUCCUGUCUGAAUAUGGGGGGACCAUCCUCCAAGGCUAAAUACUCCUGACUGACCGAUAGUGAACCAGUACCGUGAGGGAAAGGCGAAAAGAACCCCGGCGAGGGGAGUGAAAAAGAACCUGAAACCGUGUACGUACAAGCAGUGGGAGCCUCUUAAUGGGGUGACUGCGUACCUUUUGUAUAAUGGGUCAGCGACUUAUAUUCUGUAGCAAGGUUAACCGAAUAGGGGAGCCGAAGGGAAACCGAGUCUUAACUGGGCGUUAAGUUGCAGGGUAUAGACCCGAAACCCGGUGAUCUAGCCAUGGGCAGGUUGAAGGUUGGGUAACACUAACUGGAGGACCGAACCGACUAAUGUUGAAAAAUUAGCGGAUGACUUGUGGCUGGGGGUGAAAGGCCAAUCAAACCGGGAGAUAGCUGGUUCUCCCCGAAAGCUAUUUAGGUAGCGCCUCGUGAAUUCAUCUCCGGGGGUAGAGCACUGUUUCGGCAAGGGGGUCAUCCCGACUUACCAACCCGAUGCAAACUGCGAAUACCGGAGAAUGUUAUCACGGGAGACACACGGCGGGUGCUAACGUCCGUCGUGAAGAGGGAAACAACCCAGACCGCCAGCUAAGGUCCCAAAGUCAUGGUUAAGUGGGAAACGAUGUGGGAAGGCCCAGACAGCCAGGAUGUUGGCUUAGAAGCAGCCAUCAUUUAAAGAAAGCGUAAUAGCUCACUGGUCGAGUCGGCCUGCGCGGAAGAUGUAACGGGGCUAAACCAUGCACCGAAGCUGCGGCAGCGACGCUGAUGCGUUGUUGGGUAGGGGAGCGUUCUGUAAGCCUGUGAAGGUGGCCUGUGAGGGUUGCUGGAGGUAUCAGAAGUGCGAAUGCUGACAUAAGUAACGAUAAAGCGGGUGAAAAGCCCGCUCGCCGGAAGACCAAGGGUUCCUGUCCAACGUUAAUCGGGGCAGGGUGAGUCGACCCCUAAGGCGAGGCCGAAAGGCGUAGUCGAUGGGAAACAGGUUAAUAUUCCUGUACUUGGUGUUACUGCGAAGGGGGGACGGAGAAGGCUAUGUUGGCCGGGCGACGGUUGUCCCGGUUUAAGCGUGUAGGCUGGUUUUCCAGGCAAAUCCGGAAAAUCAAGGCUGAGGCGUGAUGACGAGGCACUACGGUGCUGAAGCGACAAAUGCCCUGCUUCCAGGAAAAGCCUCUAAGCAUCAGGUAACAUCAAAUCGUACCCCAAACCGACACAGGUGGUCAGGUAGAGAAUACCAAGGCGCUUGAGAGAACUCGGGUGAAGGAACUAGGCAAAAUGGUGCCGUAACUUCGGGAGAAGGCACGCUGAUAUGUAGGUGAAGCGACUUGCUCGUGGAGCUGAAAUCAGUCGAAGAUACCAGCUGGCUGCAACUGUUUAUUAAAAACACAGCACUGUGCAAACACGAAAGUGGACGUAUACGGUGUGACGCCUGCCCGGUGCCGGAAGGUUAAUUGAUGGGGUUAGCGGUAACGCGAAGCUCUUGAUCGAAGCCCCGGUAAACGGCGGCCGUAACUAUAACGGUCCUAAGGUAGCGAAAUUCCUUGUCGGGUAAGUUCCGACCUGCACGAAUGGCGUAAUGAUGGCCAGGCUGUCUCCACCCGAGACUCAGUGAAAUUGAACUCGCUGUGAAGAUGCAGUGUACCCGCGGCAAGACGGAAAGACCCCGUGAACCUUUACUAUAGCUUGACACUGAACAUUGAGCCUUGAUGUGUAGGAUAGGUGGGAGGCUUUGAAGUGUGGACGCCAGUCUGCAUGGAGCCGACCUUGAAAUACCACCCUUUAAUGUUUGAUGUUCUAACGUGGGCCCCUUACCGGGGUUGCGGACAGUGUCUGGUGGGUAGUUUGACUGGGGCGGUCUCCUCCUAAAGAGUAACGGAGGAGCACGAAGGUUGGCUAAUCCUGGUCGGACAUCAGGAGGUUAGUGCAAUGGCAUAAGCCAGCUUGACUGCGAGCGUGACGGCGCGAGCAGGUGCGAAAGCAGGUCAUAGUGAUCCGGUGGUUCUGAAUGGAAGGGCCAUCGCUCAACGGAUAAAAGGUACUCCGGGGAUAACAGGCUGAUACCGCCCAAGAGUUCAUAUCGACGGCGGUGUUUGGCACCUCGAUGUCGGCUCAUCACAUCCUGGGGCUGAAGUAGGUCCCAAGGGUAUGGCUGUUCGCCAUUUAAAGUGGUACGCGAGCUGGGUUUAGAACGUCGUGAGACAGUUCGGUCCCUAUCUGCCGUGGGCGCUGGAGAACUGAGGGGGGCUGCUCCUAGUACGAGAGGACCGGAGUGGACGCAUCACUGGUGUUCGGGUUGUCAUGCCAAUGGCACUGCCCGGUAGCUAAAUGCGGAAGAGAUAAGUGCUGAAAGCAUCUAAGCACGAAACUUGCCCCGAGAUGAGUUCUCCCUGAGACUUAGAGUCUCCUGAAGGAACGUUGAAGACGACGACGUUGAUAGGCCGGGUGUGUAAGCGCAGCGAUGCGUUGAGCUAACCGGUACUAAUGAACCGUGAGGCUUAACCUUACAACGCCGAAG